GAUGAACGCUAGCGGCAGGCUUAACACAUGCAAGUCGAGGGGCAACACGUCUUCGGAUGGUGGCGACCGGCGCACGGGUGAGUAACGCGUAUGCAAUCUACCUUUUACAGGGGCAUAGCCCGGGGAAACCCGGAUUAAUAUCCUAUAGUACCAUUAUAUAGCAUUAUAUUAUGGUUAAAGUUUCGGCGGUAAAAGAUGAGCAUGCGUCCUAUUAGCUUGAUGGUAAGGUAACGGCUUACCAUGGCUAUGAUAGGUAGGGGUCCUGAGAGGGAGACCCCCCACACUGGUACUGAGACACGGACCAGACUCCUACGGGAGGCAGCAGUGAGGAAUAUUGGACAAUGGGCGAGAACCUGAUCCAGCCAUGCCGCGUGCAGGAAGACGGCCCUAUGGGUUGUAAACUGCUUUUAUACGGGAAGAAACACCCCUUCGUGAAGGGACUUGACGGUACCGUAUGAAUAAGGAUCGGCUAACUCCGUGCCAGCAGCCGCGGUAAUACGGAGGAUCC
RNAcentral lists this ribosomal RNA (508 nucleotides) under uncultured bacterium. RNAcentral describes it as "bacterial SSU rRNA". It matches the Rfam family "Bacterial small subunit ribosomal RNA", at positions 28 to 535 of the family's 1533-position model. The record is from RNAcentral.